Molecule: ribosomal RNA, 1513 nt
Filed under: Lacticaseibacillus paracasei
Lineage: Bacteria; Bacillati; Bacillota; Bacilli; Lactobacillales; Lactobacillaceae
Description: bacterial SSU rRNA
Rfam family: Bacterial small subunit ribosomal RNA
Source: RNAcentral
UCUGCUCAGGAUGAACGCUGCCGGCGUGCCUAAUACAUGCAAGUCGAACGAGUUCUCGUUGAUGAUCGGUGCUUGCACCGAGAUUCAACAUGGAACGAGUGGCGGACGGGUGAGUAACACGUGGGUAACCUGCCCUUAAGUGGGGGAUAACAUUUGGAAACAGAUGCUAAUACCGCAUAGAUCCAAGAACCGCAUGGUUCUUGGCUGAAAGAUGGCGUAAGCUAUCGCUUUUGGAUGGACCCGCGGCGUAUUAGCUAGUUGGUGAGGUAAUGGCUCACCAAGGCGAUGAUACGUAGCCGAACUGAGAGGUUGAUCGGCCACAUUGGGACUGAGACACGGCCCAAACUCCUACGGGAGGCAGCAGUAGGGAAUCUUCCACAAUGGACGCAAGUCUGAUGGAGCAACGCCGCGUGAGUGAAGAAGGCUUUCGGGUCGUAAAACUCUGUUGUUGGAGAAGAAUGGUCGGCAGAGUAACUGUUGUCGGCGUGACGGUAUCCAACCAGAAAGCCACGGCUAACUACGUGCCAGCAGCCGCGGUAAUACGUAGGUGGCAAGCGUUAUCCGGAUUUAUUGGGCGUAAAGCGAGCGCAGGCGGUUUUUUAAGUCUGAUGUGAAAGCCCUCGGCUUAACCGAGGAAGCGCAUCGGAAACUGGGAAACUUGAGUGCAGAAGAGGACAGUGGAACUCCAUGUGUAGCGGUGAAAUGCGUAGAUAUAUGGAAGAACACCAGUGGCGAAGGCGGCUGUCUGGUCUGUAACUGACGCUGAGGCUCGAAAGCAUGGGUAGCGAACAGGAUUAGAUACCCUGGUAGUCCAUGCCGUAAACGAUGAAUGCUAGGUGUUGGAGGGUUUCCGCCCUUCAGUGCCGCAGCUAACGCAUUAAGCAUUCCGCCUGGGGAGUACGACCGCAAGGUUGAAACUCAAAGGAAUUGACGGGGGCCCGCACAAGCGGUGGAGCAUGUGGUUUAAUUCGAAGCAACGCGAAGAACCUUACCAGGUCUUGACAUCUUUUGAUCACCUGAGAGAUCAGGUUUCCCCUUCGGGGGCAAAAUGACAGGUGGUGCAUGGUUGUCGUCAGCUCGUGUCGUGAGAUGUUGGGUUAAGUCCCGCAACGAGCGCAACCCUUAUGACUAGUUGCCAGCAUUUAGUUGGGCACUCUAGUAAGACUGCCGGUGACAAACCGGAGGAAGGUGGGGAUGACGUCAAAUCAUCAUGCCCCUUAUGACCUGGGCUACACACGUGCUACAAUGGAUGGUACAACGAGUUGCGAGACCGCGAGGUCAAGCUAAUCUCUUAAAGCCAUUCUCAGUUCGGACUGUAGGCUGCAACUCGCCUACACGAAGUCGGAAUCGCUAGUAAUCGCGGAUCAGCACGCCGCGGUGAAUACGUUCCCGGGCCUUGUACACACCGCCCGUCACACCAUGAGAGUUUGUAACACCCGAAGCCGGUGGCGUAACCCUUUUAGGGAGCGAGCCGUCUAAGGUGGGACAAAUGAUUAGGGUGAAGUCGUACAGG